Molecule: non-coding RNA, 218 nt
Organism: Pelobates cultripes (western spadefoot toad)
Lineage: Eukaryota; Metazoa; Chordata; Amphibia; Anura; Pelobatidae
Source: the annotation of a GenBank genome assembly
CAAUGAUUUCUGCCGCCCUAGGCAAAGAUCCAUUUUGCCGCCCCCUCACUGACAGGCACACACACACACACUCACUGACAGACAUAUACUUACUCAGUGACACACACACACACACACACACACAGUGACAGUCAUACACUCACUCAGACACACAUACACACAGGCAGACACUCAGUGACACACAGAAUCAACACAAUUUUAUUUUUUGUGGCCCAUCC